Molecule: ribosomal RNA, 735 nt
Filed under: uncultured Staphylococcus sp.
Lineage: Bacteria; Bacillati; Bacillota; Bacilli; Caryophanales; Staphylococcaceae
Description: bacterial SSU rRNA
Rfam family: Bacterial small subunit ribosomal RNA
Source: RNAcentral
GAGCGAACAGACGAGGAGCUUGCUCCUCUGACGUUAGCGGCGGACGGGUGAGUAACACGUGGAUAACCUACCUAUAAGACUGGGAUAACUUCGGGAAACCGGAGCUAAUACCGGAUAAUAUAUUGAACCGCAUGGUUCAAUAGUGAAAGACGGUUUUGCUGUCACUUAUAGAUGGAUCCGCGCCGCAUUAGCUAGUUGGUAAGGUAACGGCUUACCAAGGCAACGAUGCGUAGCCGACCUGAGAGGGUGAUCGGCCACACUGGAACUGAGACACGGUCCAGACUCCUACGGGAGGCAGCAGUAGGGAAUCUUCCGCAAUGGGCGAAAGCCUGACGGAGCAACGCCGCGUGAGUGAUGAAGGUCUUCGGAUCGUAAAACUCUGUUAUUAGGGAAGAACAAAUGUGUAAGUAACUAUGCACGUCUUGACGGUACCUAAUCAGAAAGCCACGGCUAACUACGUGCCAGCAGCCGCGGUAAUACGUAGGUGGCAAGCGUUAUCCGGAAUUAUUGGGCGUAAAGCGCGCGUAGGCGGUUUUUUAAGUCUGAUGUGAAAGCCCACGGCUCAACCGUGGAGGGUCAUUGGAAACUGGAAAACUUGAGUGCAGAAGAGGAAAGUGGAAUUCCAUGUGUAGCGGUGAAAUGCGCAGAGAUAUGGAGGAACACCAGUGGCGAAGGCGACUUUCUGGUCUGUAACUGACGCUGAUGUGCGAAAGCGUGGGGAUCAAACAGGAUUAG